UAGUCCACGCCGUAAACGAUGAGAACUAGCCGUUGGGACCCUUGAGGUCUUGGUGGCGCAGCUAACGCGAUAAGUUCUCCGCCUGGGGAGUACGGCCGCAAGGUUAAAACUCAAAUGAAUUGACGGGGGCCCGCACAAGCGGUGGAGCAUGUUGUUUAAUUCGAUGCAACGCGAAGAACCUUACCACCCCUUGACAUCCUGCGAAUUUUCUAGAGAUAGAUUAGUGCCUUCGGGAACGCAGUGACAGGUGCUGCAUGGCUGUCGUCAGCUCGUGUCGUGAGAUGUUGGGUUAAGUCCCGUAACGAGCGCAACCCUUGUCCUUAUUUGCCAGCACAUUAUGGUGGGAACUCUAAGGAGACUGACGGUGACAAACCGUAGGAAGGUGGGGACGACGUCAAGUCAUCAUGGCCCUUACGGGGUGGGCGUACAAACGUGCUACAAUGGCAGGUACAAUGGGCUGCGAACCAGCAAUGGUGAGCGAAUCCCAAAAAACCUCUCGUAGUCCGGAUUGGGGU
RNAcentral lists this ribosomal RNA (515 nucleotides) under uncultured bacterium. Its description in RNAcentral is "bacterial SSU rRNA". It matches the Rfam family "Bacterial small subunit ribosomal RNA", at positions 791 to 1304 of the family's 1533-position model. The record is from RNAcentral.